CCAGACUCCUACGGGAGGCAGCAGUGGGGGAUAUUGCACAAUGGGGGGAACCCUGAUGCAGCGACGCCGCGUGGGCGAUGGAGCGCCUCGGCGCGUAAAGCCCUAUCAGCAGGGAAGAAAAUGACGGUACCUGACUAAGAAGCCCCGGCUAAAUACGUGCCAGCAGCCGCGGUAAUACGUAUGGGGCAAGCGUUAUCCGGAUUUACUGGGUGUAAAGGGAGCGUAGACGGCAGGGCAAGUCUGGAGUGAAAGCCCGGGGCCCAACCCCGGGACUGCUUUGGAAACUGCCAUGCUGGAGUGCUGGAGAGGUAAGCGGAAUUCCUAGUGUAGCGGUGAAAUGCGUAGAUAUUAGGAGGAACACCAGUGGCGAAGGCGGCUUGCUGGACAGAGACUGACGUUGAGGCUCGAAAGCGUGGGGAGCAAACAGGAUUAGAUACCCUAAGU
Molecule: ribosomal RNA, 444 nt
Filed under: uncultured bacterium
Lineage: Bacteria
Description: bacterial SSU rRNA
Rfam family: Bacterial small subunit ribosomal RNA
Source: RNAcentral